Molecule: ribosomal RNA, 88 nt
Filed under: Pinus taeda (loblolly pine)
Lineage: Eukaryota; Viridiplantae; Streptophyta; Pinopsida; Pinales; Pinaceae
Also listed under: 1 other name
Source: RNAcentral
GCGGGCAUCAUUGUCAGACGGGAAACACACCCGAUCCCAUACCGACCUCGAUAUGUGAAAUCGUCUUACGCCAUAUGUACUGAUCUUU